AUCAACAAAUUUAGUAGACGAAACGACCCAAGCACUAGUCAUUAAGGGUAACAGUUAUCUUCAACAGCAUAAAAAAUAUUUUAUAUUAAUAUAGAUAUUAGAUAAUAAACCUUACACUACAAACAAUUGAUCAGAAGAUUAAUAAGAUAAUUCACAAAUUCCUCAAUUUAUCAUUUCUCACAAAUAUCACAAUAUUCACAAAGUAAUAUGCAUCUGCUAAAUUCAUUUCCAAGCCAUUUGAAACCCAUGUUGUUGUGUUCUUCUCAGCAUCUAAUAAAUGCAAUUACUUUUUUUGCCCUAAUUUUAUGGUAGAUUCAAUUAAAUAAUUUAUUCAAUCUCAAGCCUAAUCAAUUCUUCCAAUUUGGCCAAAACCCUACAAUCUUUGAUUGUAACCCUAAACAUAAUUUUCCAACAACCAUUUUCAAGUUUCCAACAAAAUCUACUUCCUUCAACUCGGAAUGCUGAUAACUCGUUCAUCCUGACUAAAGCAUUCCACAUAAAAAGUCACAUAGUAAGUUGUGAAAAAAACUUACCGACAGUGAUGGCGUGCUUCCGUUAGACCUACGUCUGCAAGAGUGGGAGACAGCGGGGGUUGAAGGGGAGGUAGAAUAUAGGGUUUGGAAUUAGGCGUUUGGCAUAUGUGGCUGUGAAAUAUAGGAAUGUCGAGUAAUUCCUAUAUUUUGUUGAUUUGUCCCAAUUGAAUUCACUUAAUGGGCCAUUAUUUUUUGUGAAAAGCCCAACUAAAGAAAAGCCCAGAAUCUAAAAUGAAA
This 770-nucleotide long non-coding RNA is filed under the name Olea europaea (common olive). RNAcentral's name for it is "long non-coding RNA (OEUR_LNC013295)". Lineage: Eukaryota; Viridiplantae; Streptophyta; Magnoliopsida; Lamiales; Oleaceae. The record is from RNAcentral.